Non-coding RNA from Cricetulus griseus (Chinese hamster), 1132 nucleotides. NCBI's taxonomy places the organism in Eukaryota, Metazoa, Chordata, Mammalia, Rodentia, Cricetidae. The record is from RefSeq and is a predicted model, not a curated record.
UAUGCUUACUACAACACUCCCUCUAGUGGUGUUGUGUAUACGAGACAGGGAAAUCUCAUUGUCUUUUCAGACCACCCUAGUCUCUCACAGUCUCAAUGCCUUAUGGGAAAAUCAGUCAGGCUUGGGGACUGCACUGGAUCAGCUUGAAAGAAACUAGAGUCACUUAAGAAGUGGAAACCUCAAUCAAGAAAAUUGCCCCACUGGGUUGGCUUGUGAUGCAUGUUCUUCGUUGAAGAUUGCUGUGUCCAUCUCACUGAGGGUGACAUCAAACUCUGAGCCGAUGGCCCUGGGUGCUAGAAGAUAGCAGGCUGAGCAAGCCACAGGGAGCAAGCUGGCAGAGCUGCAUACUGGUCCAGACAUCAGUGAAGAUGCUGCUGCUACUGAAGAAGCUGAUCUAUGUGUCUUGUACAAGGCUAAAUGCUUCCCUCCCCCCACCUCUGGUGGAUCCUGGCACCUUUGUGGGUGAUUCAGACUGGAUUUGGGACUUGACUUUUCUAGUGACACUUUGGUCUAUUUUCUGUUUGGAGAGUCCAGGAAGGGACUGACUCCUGAAGGUAGACAAUGUCCCCUCUGGCUUAGUCUGCACCCAAAGGAAUUGGUCUCUGCAUUAAAGAAGUGUGAAAUGUCUGACCACUGCUGAGAAGAUCAUCACUAGAAAGCUGUGCUGGGACGGUGUCCAAAAGGCAUUUUAUUGUCUUGCUUUUUUUUUUCUUUUGAGACAGAAUCAUUCUACAUAGCCCAGGCUUUUCUCAAAUUCAUAAUCCUCUUGUCUCUCUGACUCUCAAGUGCUGGGAUUACAGAUGUAUACCACUGCACCUGGCUUCAAGAAGGAUUUUAGGGGGUUGGGAUAUAACUCACUUGGUAGGGUAUUUACUCAGUGUGCACGAAGCCCUGGGUUUAAUCUCCAACACAGUACAACACCAGGCAUGGUGGUAUAUAAUUGUACCAGGCCAGCAUGGACAACAUGAGGGCCUGUCUCAAAAUAAAACAAAACAAAACAACACACACACACACAUGCACACAUACUCACAAUGAACAACAAACAAAAAAGGAAAAUGAAAGACAUGUUAAAACCUGGUAUUUGAAUCUUCCAGCUUCUGUUUUGUCAAAUAAAAUACUUUUGUACACUGAA